This 465-nucleotide long non-coding RNA is filed under the name Homo sapiens (human). RNAcentral's name for it is "non-protein coding lnc-CBSL-165:2". Lineage: Eukaryota; Metazoa; Chordata; Mammalia; Primates; Hominidae. The record is from RNAcentral.
UUUGGCGGGUCUUUGUCUCUUGCUGGCGCUGGCACAGGAACUUGGGAUCCGUCUCCUCUUUCGCCUCCUCCGCUUUGGGAGCCCCGGGCUACUCUUUCACAGCCCCUGUUGCCCUGUGAUCUGUAGGUCCUUGGGGACGCACAGUUAAGAUGACAGGACAUCCUGGAAGCUGGGAAAUGGCAUCAUAGCUGGGAAACGGAUUCACAAGACCCAGGCUGUUCCCUACAUAUGUUUCCUCCUCCGACAUCAGUUCAUCAGUCAAUCAAGCCAUGUGAGAGUGGAGGCCUUGUAUUCCCUAUUAUUCUUGGGCACUCUACUCCAAGUAGGAAAAGGCCAGGAGGUCCUGUUAAAGGAUGCACUCAGAGCCCGGGCUCCCUAACAUAUGAGAGUGCUAACCAGCAGGUGUAGACUUUUCAGGAGUGAAGAAUGAGGCAGGCAUUCCAAACCUGGACCUUCAUCACCUUU